RNAcentral lists this transfer RNA (62 nucleotides) under Indomegoura indica. Its description in RNAcentral is "tRNA-Asp". The record is from RNAcentral. Lineage: Eukaryota; Metazoa; Arthropoda; Insecta; Hemiptera; Aphididae.
AAGAGAUUAGUUAAAAUUAUAACAUUAAUUUGUCAAAUUAAAAUUAUUUAUUAUAUCACUUA